GGCGCGGCUGCUCGAUCGCUGACGCGAGCCGUCGCUCAUGGCGGCGUCGGUGAUCCCGCUGCUGCAUGCGGCGUUCGGGACGCGGGCCGCGGCG
This 94-nucleotide transfer RNA is filed under the name Agromyces bauzanensis. RNAcentral's name for it is "tRNA-Met". Lineage: Bacteria; Bacillati; Actinomycetota; Actinomycetes; Micrococcales; Microbacteriaceae. The record is from RNAcentral.